RNAcentral lists this ribosomal RNA (443 nucleotides) under uncultured bacterium. RNAcentral describes it as "partial 16S ribosomal RNA". It matches the Rfam family "Bacterial small subunit ribosomal RNA", at positions 338 to 795 of the family's 1533-position model. The record is from RNAcentral.
CCUACGGGUGGCAGCAGUGGGGAAUAUUGGGCAAUGGGCGCAAGCCUGACCCAGCAACGCCGCGUGAAGGAAGAAGGCUCUCGGGUUGUAAACUUCUUUUAUCAGGGACGAAGCAAGUGACGGUACCUGAUGAAUAAGCCACGGCUAACUACGUGCCAGCAGCCGCGGUAAUACGUAGGUGGCAAGCGUUAUCCGGAUUUACUGGGUGUAAAGGGCGUGUAGGCGGGAAAGCAAGUCAGAGGGGAAAACCAUGGGCUCAACCCGGGGACUGCAUUUGAAACUGUGUUUCUUGAGUACUGGAGAGGCAGACGGAAUUCCUAGUGUAGCGGUGAAAUGCGUAGAUAUUAGGAGGAACACCAGUGGCGAAGGCGGUCUGCUGGACAGCAACUGACGCUGAGGCGCGAAAGCGUGGGGAGCAAACAGGAUUAGAUACCCCAGUAGUC